GAGGGGUGCAACCUGAAAACACAGACGACGGAUUUUGGUCGUUUGGUUCAAGUUAACUACACUUAUGUCGUCUCUGUGUUCUCAGGUCACCCCUC
RNAcentral lists this microRNA precursor (95 nucleotides) under Linum usitatissimum (flax). RNAcentral's name for it is "miR398e stem-loop (lus-MIR398e)". Its record names the gene lus-MIR398e. Lineage: Eukaryota; Viridiplantae; Streptophyta; Magnoliopsida; Malpighiales; Linaceae. The record is from miRBase by way of RNAcentral.